UUUUGUUAACAUCGCUGACGGAGAAUCUAAUUGACUUUACAGAAACCAUUCCUCAGGUGUCUUCCCAGCCCACAGUUACACCCAGGUGGAUCGUGCCAAGUGGGCAGACUUCCAAUGGGUCUUUGGGGAAUGAUGUUGUUUUAGCUCUAAAGGCAGUGAAAGGCAGCGCUGAAGCAGUGUCGCUUCCAGCUGGAUCUCCAUCAUCACAGCAGUCAGCUGAAAUGCUUGCAAGCCCCAUCACGGAGGAGCCUGCGAUAAAACCGAAAUGUUUACUCACCACUGAACUCUGAGAGGAGGGAGCUUCGGUGCUUCCAAUCUGCUGAAAACUCAAACCUUCUAGCAUCUUCAAGGAGCCCUUUGGAAGGACCUACCUGGGAUUAAGCUCUUGCUGGAUGUGGCCACAAACGACCAGCUGCUUUGCUGAGAAUCUGGAGGGAAACUUUCAUCUUUGUUGCAGUUCAGCUAGAACUAUAAUAUAAAGUAGGAUGUAAAGCUCCAAGGAUGCAUGAGCUUCUCCCUCAGGAGAGAUGAAGCACACGCUGGAACUAGUUCUGGGCAUGAAUAACGAAAUCUAGGAGAGUUUCAUCCAUAUUUGACUUAGUCUCUUUACCUUUACUGCUUCAUAGAUGGAAAGUGUUCACUCUGAUAUCAGCCCACUAGCUUUGUGAAAAGUUGUGGCCCAGAGCUUCAUAACUUGACACUGGGAGAAAUUAGAAGAACUUCUAGGGCCAGCAGCUGGUUAUGAAUAUAAAUGAUGACUAAUAGCGAUAAUGGUAAUUUUAUACAAUCAA
Molecule: long non-coding RNA, 791 nt
Filed under: Chelonoidis abingdonii (Abingdon island giant tortoise)
Lineage: Eukaryota; Metazoa; Chordata; Testudines; Testudinidae
Description: lncRNA (ENSCABG00000007744.1)
Source: RNAcentral